UUUCCGUAGGUGAACCUGCGGAAGGAUCAUUAUUGUAUAGCCGAGGUGCGAGGGCUGUCGCUGACCCGAAAGGUCGUGCACGCCCGAGUGCCCUCACACACAUCCAUCUCACCCCUAUGUGCACCACCGCGUGGGUCCCCCUUUGGCUUGUUCGGAGGGGGGCUUACGUUUUCACACAAACUUUGUAUGCAGUGUAGAAUGUAUUUUUUGUUUUUGCGAUCACGCAAUCAAUACAACUUUCAACAACGGAUCUCUUGGCUCUU
Molecule: unclassified non-coding RNA, 263 nt
Filed under: plant metagenome
Description: partial contains small subunit ribosomal RNA, internal transcribed spacer 1, and 5.8S ribosomal RNA
Source: RNAcentral